UUGAUUUAUUUUGUAUGGUUACUCAGAGGGCCGCUGAAAGCAAGAGUUUGGUAGGCCUCUGGCGGGCACCUCCCCCUGGGGGGAGGCGGCGGCCCCGCCCUGGGGCUGCCCGCCGAAGCAACUAUUCAGAUAGGUUCACAAAGGGUUGACGAGUCCGGUAGAACUCUUCCGUAAUGAUCCCUCCGCUGGUUCACCAACGGAGA
RNAcentral lists this unclassified non-coding RNA (203 nucleotides) under uncultured fungus. RNAcentral describes it as "sequence contains ITS1". The record is from RNAcentral. Lineage: Eukaryota; Fungi.